Molecule: small nuclear RNA, 105 nt
Organism: Arvicola amphibius (Eurasian water vole)
Lineage: Eukaryota; Metazoa; Chordata; Mammalia; Rodentia; Cricetidae
Source: RefSeq, a predicted model, not a curated record
GUGCUCCCUUUGGCACCACAUAUACUAAAACUGAAGCAACACAGAGAAGAUUAGCAUGGCCACCAUGCAUAGACACUAUGCAAAUUUGCUAUGCAUGCCUUUUUA